GACGAACGCUGGCGGCGUGCUUAACACAUGCAAGUCGAACGAAGUGGCGAACGGGUGAGUAAUACGUGGGUAACCUGCCCUCCUUUUUGGGAUAAGCCUUGGAAACGGGGUCUAAUACCGACUAUAGGGGGAUGGGCUCGCGGCCUAUCAGCUUGUUGGUGGGGGGCUGGCCUACCAAGGCGGUGCCGGGUAGACGGCCGUAGAGGGUGACCGGCAAUAUUGGGACGGAGAUACGGCCCAGACACCUACGGGAGGCAGAAUGGGGGGAAAGUGCACAAGGGUCGUGAGCCUGAUGCAGCGACGCCGCGUGGGGGAUGAAGGCUUUCGGGUUUUAAACCUCUUUCGCUAGCGAACGGGUAGGUGGAGAAGAAGCGCCGGCUAACUACGUGCCAGCAGCCGCGGUAAUAC
This 408-nucleotide ribosomal RNA is filed under the name uncultured bacterium. Its description in RNAcentral is "partial 16S ribosomal RNA". It matches the Rfam family "Bacterial small subunit ribosomal RNA", at positions 28 to 526 of the family's 1533-position model. The record is from RNAcentral.